RNAcentral lists this transfer RNA (76 nucleotides) under Streptomyces phage LilMartin. Its description in RNAcentral is "tRNA-Ala". It matches the Rfam family "tRNA". From Rfam's summary of the family: Transfer RNA (tRNA) molecules are approximately 80 nucleotides in length. Their secondary structure includes four short double-helical elements and three loops (D, anti-codon, and T loops). RNAcentral also lists the same sequence under 2 other names. Lineage: Duplodnaviria; Heunggongvirae; Uroviricota; Caudoviricetes; Stanwilliamsviridae. The record is from RNAcentral.
UGUCACAUAGCUUAAUAGGCAAAGCACAUUCCCUUGGCCAGGGAUGAUGAUGGUUCGAGUCCAUCUGUGACAGCCA